RNAcentral lists this long non-coding RNA (369 nucleotides) under Citrus sinensis (sweet orange). RNAcentral's name for it is "long non-coding RNA (CSIN_LNC002856)". Lineage: Eukaryota; Viridiplantae; Streptophyta; Magnoliopsida; Sapindales; Rutaceae. The record is from RNAcentral.
ACAGCAGAUUCUUCAGCUAAGCUUCCAUUUACUGCAUUAUCAGACAAAAGCUUUAAUGCAUCUCUUUGUUGCUGCUGCAGCUGUUCCUCCUCAGCCCUCCUCUUGGCCACAGCAAUUUCUUCCUCUUCCCUUACUUCGUCAGCCAAGUCCUCCUCCUUUUCCCGUAUCCUCUUCCUCCUCUUUUCCUCUAACACACUUCUACGCCAUCUUUUUCGGGAAUCAUCUUCAUCUUCUUCUUCGUCAUAAAGGAUCUCUUUCUUUCGUUUGCGUUCCCUCUCUUUUUCCUUCUCCUUCUCAUAUUGCCGUUCUUUCUCUCUCUCUCUUUCUCUGUACUCCCAAUCUUUGAGACACCUUUCAUACUCCCGCUCG